Molecule: non-coding RNA, 69 nt
Organism: Podarcis lilfordi (Lilford's wall lizard)
Lineage: Eukaryota; Metazoa; Chordata; Lepidosauria; Squamata; Lacertidae
Source: the annotation of a GenBank genome assembly
GUUAUAGCUCAGUAGUAGAGCACCUGAUUUGCAUGCCAAAGGUUCCAGAUUCAAUCCCUGGUGUCAUCA